GGCCAAGCUAGUAAGGGCGUGUGGGGGAUGUCUCGGCGCCAGAAGGCGAAAGGGCGUGGAAGACUGCGAUAAGUCCGGGGGAGCUGUCAACGAGCGUUGAUCCCGGAAUCCCCGAGCUAACCCGGGGAACUGAAACAUCUCAGUACCCGGAGGAAAAGAAAGAAACCUCGACUCCGUCAGUAGCGGCGAGCGAAAGCGGACCAGCCCAAACCACAGGGGCAACCCUGUGGGGUUGUAGGACCGCACCAGCGGAUCCCAAGUCCUUAGCAGAACGGUCUGGAAUGGCCGGCCAAAGAGGGUGAAAGCCCCGUACGCGAAAGGGACGCGGGCCGCGCGGGAUCCUGAGUAGGACCCAUCACGUGGAAGUGGGUCUGAAUCUGGGAGGACCAUCUCCCAAGGCUAAGUACUCUCUGGCGACCGAUAGCGAACCAGUAGCGUGAGCGAAAGAUGGGAAGAACCCCGCAAGGGGAGGAUAGUGAACCUGAAACCACAUGCCUACAAGCGGUCGGAGGGCUAUGCCCCGUAAGGGGAAUUGCCUGACGGCGUGCCUUUUGCAUAAUGAUCCGGCGACUUACCGUAUCCAGCAAGGUUAAGGGUCUCUGGCCCGUAGCCGCAGCGAAAGCGAGUCUGACAAGGGCGUACAGUUGGGUGCGGUAGACGCGAAACCACGUGACCUACACAUGGCCAGGAUGAAGUUGGGGUAACACCCAAUGGAGGUCCGAACCCACUAGUGUUGAAAAACUAGGGGAUGAGCUGUGUGGAGGAGUGAAAGUCUAACCAAACGUGGAGAUAGCUCGUUCUCUCCGAAAUAACUUUAGGGUUAGCGUCCGGAUAGUUGGCCGUGGGGGUAGAGCGACUGAUUCCGAACGGGGGCCUACCCGGCUACCCGUCGGAGCCAAACUCCGAAUACCACGGUGCAAGUCCGGGCAGCUAGACGGUGGGGGAUAAGCUUCAUCGUCGAGAGGGGAACAACCCAGAUCACCCGCUAAGGCCCCCAAGACGUGCUCAGUGCGAAAGGAAGUUGGAUCCCUGAGACAGCCAGGAUGUUGGCUUAGAAGCAGCCACCAUUUAAACAACGCGUAAUAGCGGACUGGUCGAGGGAUCCUGCGCCGAUAAUGAACGGGACUAAGCACGUCGCCGAAGCGGUGGGCAGUCGUACGACUGCGGUAGGAGAGCGUUGCCUGCGCAGCGAAGCGGUACGGACAACGAGCCGUGGAGCGCAGGCAAGUGAAUAUGCCGGAAUGAGUAGACGAUAAAACGGGUGAGAAUCCCGUUCGCCGAAAGCCUAAGGUUUCCUGGGGAAGGUAAAUCCGCCCAGGGUUAGCCGGUGCCUAACCCGAGGCCGAAAGGCGUAGGGGAUGGGGAGCAGGUUAAUAUUCCUGCGCUCCUCACGCAAGAUGGGACGCUGGCCAAUGACGGUGUAGGUCAAACAGAUGACCUCAGGGCGCUUUAUGAUCCCGAUAUCCGCCAACGGCCAGCCAAGAAAACCGCGUGAGAAACCGUACCACAAACCGACACAGGUAGGCGGGAUGAAGAUUCUCAGGCGCUCGAGAGAACGCUCGUGAAGGAACUCUGCAAGUUGACCCCGUAACUUCGGGAGAAGGGGUGCCUCACUCCGGUGAGGCCGCAGUGAAAGGGCUCUGGCGACUGUUUACUAAAAACACAGGUCUGUGCCAAGGCGUAAGCCGCUGUAUACAGACUGACGCCUGCCCGGUGCUGGUAAGUUAAGGAAGCGGGUUAGCCGCAAGGCGAAGCUCGCAACCGAAGCUCCAGUAAACGGCGGCCGUAACUAUGACGGUCCUAAGGUAGCGAAAUUCCUUGUCGGGUAAGUUCCGACCUGCAUGAAUGGCGUAACGACUGGAGCACUGUCUCCACGAGCGACUCGGUGAAAUUGUAGUUGUCGUGAAGAUGCGACAUACCCGCAGCUAGACGGAAAGACCCCGUGAACCUUUACUGCAGCUUGGUAUUGGGUUUAGGCCCAGCAUGCGUAGCGUAGGUGGGAGGCUACGAACCGCCACUUUCGGGUGGCGGGGAGCCGACCCUGAAACACCACCCUUGCUGUGCUUGAAUUCUAACUGGGUGUGUGCAGCACCCAGGACAGUGCUAAGUGGGCAGUUUGAUUGGGGCGAUCUCCUCCUAAAAGGUAACGGAGGAGUCCAAAGGUACCCUCAGCCCGGUUGGCAAUCGGGCAGCGAGCGCAAUGGUAGAAGGGUGCUUGACUGCGAGUCCGAUGGGACAAGCAGAGACGAAAGUCGGGCAUAGUGAUCCGGUGGUUCCGUAUGGAAGGGCCAUCGCUCAACAGAUAAAAGGUACUCCGGGGAUAACAGGCUUAUCUCCUCUGAGCGUCCAUAGCGGCGAGGAGGUUUGGCACCUCGAUGUCGGCUCAACUGCGGGCCCCUGGUCCGGGUAACUGGCCAGGAAACAUUCGGCUUAUAACGGUGAAGCCCUCCCCUACGACCAGCCCGUAGGCGGGUAACACCGUGGGAAGUCGAGGAGUUAUGAGUCUGACCCACUCAAGCAGAGGCAUCAUCGCGGGGACAAUCCUCGGAGACGGCUGCCUCGAACGGAACGGACGUUACGUCCGACUCCGCAUCGACCACGGCGCACGGCAAAAAUGCCUAGUGGAGUGGAAGCAUCAGCAACUCGCUGAGUUGCACCCCACUGCCAUCCGGCGCAUCGCCGUCGCCGACCAGCGAACGAGACGAACCUACGUUCAUUACCGUUUCGAGACAGCUAGCUCUCCGCUCUUGGAAGAGUACUACCGGCUCUUCUAUCCCCAUGGGAAAAAAAGCGUGCCGGUUGAGAUUGCCUCGUAUCUUACCUCUGCACUCAGUAUUGCCGUCUGGUACAUGGAUGAUGGCAGCCGAAGGCAAGACUGCUGUGCGGGUUAUCUCAACACCCAAGCAUUUGCCUGGGAAGAGGUAUCCCGACUGCAAGUUUGUUUGGCGAAAAACUUCGGCAUCGCUAGCCGCCUUCAUUGGGCUGCUGGAAGGCCGCGAAUCUACAUCGCCGGGAACGACUUUAGAACCCUUUGCGAUCUGAUUCGUGACCACGUGUUGCCAGAACUGCAAUACAAGCUCCUUUGACCCCGUAACGACUGAUGGCUGAAAAGCAACGAUGAUGGCUGAGUAAGCCUGAGAUAGGUCGUCUGGGUAGCAACGCUCAGGCACCUAUCAGACGCCGAACUCCGUUUGAGGUCAGCGAACGGAUGAUGAUAUAGUCUACGCCACGGGAAACCGUGGAGCACCGUGCAUCGCAUCCUGGGGGUGGAGAAGCUCCCAAGGGUUCGGCUGUUCGCCGAUGAAAGCGGUACGUGAGCUGGGUUUAGACCGUCGUGAGACAGGUCGGUCCCUAUCUGCUGUGGGCGGAGGAAACUUGAGGGGCUUUCUCCCUAGUACGAGAGGACUGGGAGGGACACACCUCUGGUGUGCCAGUUGUCGCGCUAGCGGCACCGCUGGGUAGCCACGUGUGGACGGGAUAAACGCUGAAAGCAUAUAAGCGUGAAACCUCCCCCAAGAUCAGGUUUCCUGCCGAAAGGCGAAGGCUCCUGGAAGACGACCAGGUUGAUAGGCCGGACGUGCAAGUGCAGCAAUGCACUCAGCUAACCGGUACUAACAGCCGAGCGCUUGGCCGCA
This 3635-nucleotide ribosomal RNA is filed under the name Gemmata sp. Its description in RNAcentral is "23S ribosomal RNA". It matches the Rfam family "Bacterial large subunit ribosomal RNA". Lineage: Bacteria; Pseudomonadati; Planctomycetota; Planctomycetia; Gemmatales; Gemmataceae. The record is from RNAcentral.